Molecule: ribosomal RNA, 423 nt
Filed under: marine sediment bacterium BB0608_AND_6.1_2G0
Lineage: Bacteria
Description: bacterial SSU rRNA
Rfam family: Bacterial small subunit ribosomal RNA
Source: RNAcentral
CCCUUCGGGGUGAAGCUCGUGGAACGAGCGGCGGACGGGUGAGUAACACGUGGGCAACCUGCCUGUAAGAUCGGAAUAACCCCGGGAAACCGGGGCUAAUGCCGGGUAAUACUUUUCUUCGCAUGAAGAUGAGUUGAAAGAUGGCUUCUCGCUAUCACUUACAGAUGGGCCCGCGGCGCAUUAGCUAGUUGGUGAGGUAACGGCUCACCAAGGCAACGAUGCGUAGCCGACCUGAGAGGGUGAUCGGCCACACUGGGACUGAGACACGGCCCAGACUCCUACGGGAGGCAGCAGUAGGGAAUCUUCCGCAAUGGACGAAAGUCUGACGGAGCAACGCCGCGUGAACGAUGAAGGUCUUCGGAUCGUAAAGUUCUGUUGUCAGGGAAGAACAAGUACCGUGCGAAUAGAGCGGUACCUUGACGG